Molecule: ribosomal RNA, 2076 nt
Filed under: human gut metagenome
Description: bacterial LSU rRNA
Rfam family: Bacterial large subunit ribosomal RNA
Source: RNAcentral
CAAUCGAACCCGGAGAUAGCUGGUUCUCCUCGAAAUAGCUUUAGGGCUAGCCUCGCAUUAGUUUACCGGAGGUAGAGCACUGAAUGGUCUAGGGGGCCUCACCGCCUACCGAAACCUAUCAAACUGCGAAUGCCGGAUAAAUGAUGUGCGGGAGUCAGGCCGCGAGAGAUAAGUUCCGCGGUCAAAAGGGGAACACCCCAGAUCGUCUGCUAAGGUCCCCAAGUACGCGUUAAGUGGGAAAGGAUGUUGGAUUGCACAGACAACCAGGAUGUUGGCUUAGAAGCAGCCACACAUUCAAAGAGUGCGUAAUAGCUCACUGGUCGAGUGAUCCAGCGCCGAAAAUGUAACGGGGCUAAAACGCGACACCGAAGCAGCGGGAUGCGUAAGCAUCGGUAGAGGAGCAUUGUGUGAGGAUAGAAGCCAGAGCGGGAGCACUGGUGGACUUCACAGAAGAGAGAAUGCCGGUAUGAGUAGCGAGACCCAUGCGAGAAACAUGGGCGUCGAAGGCCCAAGGUUUCCUGGGGAAGGUUCAUCCACCCAGGGUAAGUCGGGACCUAAGCCGAGGACUGAGGUCGUAGGCGAUGGACAGCAGGUAGAGAUUCCUGCACCACUUACACUUGUUUGACGAAGCAGUGACACAGAAGGAUAGGACGAGCGCGGUGAUGGUCAACCGCGUAGGCGGCACGAGGCUGGGGAGCAGUAAAGUACACUUCCCGGGAAGGCUGAGUGCUGACAGGACCGAAAAAGAGUAGGGAAGCGUCUGAGUUCACGCUGGCGAGAAAAGCUGCUAAGGAGAGUGUGAGUGCCCGUACCGGAAACCGACGCAGGUGGGCGAGGAGAGAAUCCUGAGACGGACGGGAGAACUCUUGUUAAGGAACUCGGCAAAAUGACCCCGUAACUUCGGGAGAAGGGGUGCCUCGAAAGAGGCCGCAGAGAAUAGUCACAAGCGACUGUUUAGCAAAAACACAGGUAUCUGCGAAAGCGAGAGCUGACGUAUAGGUGCUGACGCCUGCCCGGUGCUGGAAGGUUAAGGGGAAGUGUUAGGGGAAACCCGAAGCAGAGAACCGAAGCCCCAGUAAACGGCGGCCGUAACUAUAACGGUCCUAAGGUAGCGAAAUUCCUUGUCGGGUAAGUUCCGACCCGCACGAAUGGCGUAACGACUUGUGAGCUGUCUCAACAGGAGGCCCGGUGAAAUUGAAGUAUGUGUGAAGAUGCACAUUACCCGCGACUGGACGGAAAGACCCCGUAGAGCUUUACUGUAACCUGACAUUGGAUCUUGAUAACGGAUGCACAGGAUAGGUGGGACGCUGGGAGGUAUGGACUUUGGUCUGUACGGAGCGGACGUUGGGAUACCACUCUUCUGUUAUUGAGAUUCUAACCUCAAGCCGUAAGCCGGAUGAGAGACAGUGUCAGGCGGACAGUUUGACUGGGGCGGUCGCCUCCGAAAGAGUAACGGAGGCGCCCAAAGGUACCCUCAGAAUGGAUGGAAACCAUUCGAAGAGAGCAAAGUCAGAAGGGUGCUUGACUGCGAGACCAACAAGUCGAGCAGGUACGAAAGUAGGGCUUAGUGAUCCGGCGGUAAGAGAGUGGAAUUGCCGUCGCUCAACGGAUAAAAGCUACCUCGGGGAUAACAGGCUGAUCUCCCCCAAGAGUUCACAUCGACGGGGAGGUUUGGCACCUCGAUGUCGGCUCAUCGCAUCCUGGGGCUGAAUUCGGUCCCAAGGGUUUGGCUGUUCGCCAAUUAAAGCGGCACGCGAGCUGGGUUCAGAACGUCGUGAGACAGUUCGGUCCCUAUCCAUCGUGGGCGAAGGACACAUGAGAGGAGCUGCUCCUAGUACGAGAGGACCGGAGUGGACGCAUCACUGGUGCAACUGUUGUCGUGCCAACGGCACAGCAGGGAAGCGAAAUGCGGAUGGGAUAAACGCUGAAGGCAUCUAAGCGUGAAGCCCACCUCAAGAAUAAGUGUCCCAUUCGAAAGAAGUAAGACCCCUGGAAGACUACCAGGUGAUAGGUCAUCGGUGAAAGAGCGGUAACGUUUGGAGCUUGAUGAUACUAAUCGGUCGAGGACUUGAUCUA